GACGAACGCUGGCAGCGUGCUUAACACAUGCAAGUCGAACGGAAAGGCCCUGCUUUUGUGGGGUGCUCGAGUGGCGAACGGGUGAGUAACACGUGAGUAACCUGCCCUUGACUUUGGGAUAACUUCAGGAAACUGGGGCUAAUACCGGAUAGGAGCUCCUGCUGCAUGGUGGGGGUUGGAAAGUUUCGGCGGUUGGGGAUGGACUCGCGGCUUAUCAGCUUGUUGGUGGGGUAGUGGCUUACCAAGGCUUUGACGGGUAGCCGGCCUGAGAGGGUGACCGGCCACAUUGGGACUGAGAUACGGCCCAGACUCCUACGGGAGGCAGCAGUGGGGAAUAUUGCACAAUGGGCGGAAGCCUGAUGCAGCAACGCCGCGUGCGGGAUGACGGCCUUCGGGUUGUAAACCGCUUUCGCCUGUGACGAAGCGUGAGUGACGGUAAUGGGUAAAGAAGCACCGGCUAACUACGUGCCAGCAGCCGCGGUGAUACGUAGGGUGCGAGCGUUGUCCGGAUUUAUUGGGCGUAAAGGGCUCGUAGGUGGUUGAUCGCGUCGGAAGUGUAAUCUUGGGGCUUAACCCUGAGCGUGCUUUCGAUACGGGUUGACUUGAGGAAGGUAGGGGAGAAUGGAAUCCCUGGUGGAGCGGUGGAAUGCGCAGAUAUCAGGAGGAACACCAGUGGCGAAGGCGGUUCUCUGGGCCUUUCCUGACGCUGAGGAGCGAAAGCGUGGGGAGCGAACAGGCUUAGAUACCCUGGUAGUCCACGCUGUAAACGGUGGGUACUAGGUGUGGGGUCCAUUCCACGGGUUCCGUGCCGUAGCUAACGCUUUAAGUACCCCGCCUGGGGAGUACGGCCGCAAGGCUAAAACUCAAAGGAAUUGACGGGGCCCCGCACAAGCGGCGGAGCAUGCGGAUUAAUUCGAUGCAACGCGUAGAACCUUACCAGGGUUUGACAUGGAUCGGGAGUGCUCAGAGAUGGGUGUGCCUCUUUUGGGGUCGGUUCACAGGUGGUGCAUGGCUGUCGUCAGCUCGUGUCGUGAGAUGUUGGGUUAAGUCCCGCAACGAGCGCAACCCUUGUUCACUGUUGCCAGCACGUUAUGGUGGGGACUCAGUGGAGACCGCCGGGGUCAACUCGGAGGAAGGUGGGGAUGACGUCAAGUCAUCAUGCCCCUUAUGUCCAGGGCUUCACGCAUGCUACAAUGGCUGGUACAGAGAGUGGCGAGCCUGUGAGGGUGAGCGAAUCUCGGAAAGCCGGUCUCAGUUCGGAUUGGGGUCUGCAACUCGACCUCAUGAAGUCGGAGUCGCUAGUAAUCGCAGAUCAGCAACGCUGCGGUGAAUACGUUCCCGGGGCU
Molecule: ribosomal RNA, 1346 nt
Filed under: uncultured bacterium
Lineage: Bacteria
Description: partial 16S ribosomal RNA
Rfam family: Bacterial small subunit ribosomal RNA
Source: RNAcentral